UCCCUGGUGGUCCAGUGGCUGAGACUCUGCACUUCCAAAGCAGGGAGCCCAGGUUUGACCCCUGAUCAGGGAA
RNAcentral lists this transfer RNA (73 nucleotides) under Bos taurus (domestic cattle). It matches the Rfam family "tRNA". From Rfam's summary of the family: Transfer RNA (tRNA) molecules are approximately 80 nucleotides in length. Their secondary structure includes four short double-helical elements and three loops (D, anti-codon, and T loops). Lineage: Eukaryota; Metazoa; Chordata; Mammalia; Artiodactyla; Bovidae. RNAcentral also lists the same sequence under 5 other names. The record is from Rfam by way of RNAcentral.